Molecule: ribosomal RNA, 618 nt
Filed under: uncultured bacterium
Lineage: Bacteria
Description: bacterial SSU rRNA
Rfam family: Bacterial small subunit ribosomal RNA
Source: RNAcentral
GUCGAGCGAACAGAUGAGGAGCUUGCUCCUUGAGACGUUAGCGGCGGACGGGUGAGUAACACGUGGGCAACCUGCCCUAUAGUUUGGGAUAACUCGCGGAAACGUGAGCUAAUACCGAAUAAUACAUUUCAUCUCCUGAUGGAAUGUUGAAAGAUGGUUUUUCGCUAUCGCUAUAGGAUGGGCCCGCGGCGCAUUAGCUAGUAGGUGAGGUAACGGCUCACCUAGGCAACGAUGCGUAGCCGACCUGAGAGGGUGAUCGGCCACACUGGGACUGAGACACGGCCCAGACUCCUACGGGAGGCAGCAGUAGGGAAUCUUCCACAAUGGACGAAAGUCUGAUGGAGCAACGCCGCGUGAGUGAAGAAGGUUUUCGGAUCGUAAAACUCUGUUGUAAGGGAAGAACAAGUACAGUAGUAACUGGCUGUACCUUGACGGUACCUUAUUAGAAAGCCACGGCUAACUACGUGCCAGCAGCCGCGGUAAUACGUAGGUGGCAAGCGUUGUCCGGAAUUAUUGGGCGUAAAGCGCGCGCAGGCGGUCCUUUAAGUCUGAUGUGAAAUCACGUGGCUCAACCACGUGCGGUCAUUGGAAACUGGAGGACUUGAGUGCAGAAGAGGA